RNAcentral lists this ribosomal RNA (325 nucleotides) under uncultured eukaryote. RNAcentral describes it as "partial 18S ribosomal RNA". It matches the Rfam family "Eukaryotic small subunit ribosomal RNA", at positions 1470 to 1796 of the family's 1831-position model. The record is from RNAcentral.
CCCUUAGAUGUUCUGGGCCGCACGCGCGCUACACUGACUGGUGCAACAAGUGUCUGACCUUGGCUCGAGAGGCCUGGGCAACCUUUGAACGCCAGUCGUGCUGGGGAUAGAUUCUUGCAAUUAUUAAUCUUCAACGAGGAAUUCCUAGUAAACGCAAGUCAUCAGCUUGCAUUGAUUACGUCCCUGCCCUUUGUACACACCGCCCGUCGCACCUACCGAUUGGAUGGUCCGGUGAAGCCUCGGGAUUGUGGCGGUUGCCUUUAUUGGUGGCCGCCGCGAGAACUUGUCUAAACCUUAUCAUCUAGAGGAAGGUGAANUCGUAACA